UCGGUGGGGUAACCCGCAAGGGAGCCAGCCGCCGAAGGUGGGGUAGAUGAUUGGGGUGAAGUCGUAACAAGGUAGCCGUAUCGGAAGGUGCGGCUGGAUCACCUCCUUUCUAAGGA
Molecule: ribosomal RNA, 116 nt
Filed under: Paenibacillus pinisoli
Lineage: Bacteria; Bacillati; Bacillota; Bacilli; Caryophanales; Paenibacillaceae
Description: partial 16S ribosomal RNA
Rfam family: Bacterial small subunit ribosomal RNA
Source: RNAcentral